UUGAAAGGGAAACGAUUGAAGUCAGUCGUACCCUCGGGUAAUCAGCCUUUUGGGNNNNNNNUUGUGGAGCGUGAAGAGUUAAACGCCUUCAUGCCUGCAUAUUCGUGCAUUUUGGGUGUACUUGCCCGUAUGGUUGGUUAACAUCAAUUUUGGUGGUCAUAAAAUGACUGGAGGAAUGUAGCUUCGAUCUCGUAUUGAAGUGUUAUAGCCUUCGGUAGAUGUGAUGAUCGAGAUUGAGGAUUGCAACGGAUACCCUUCGGGGCUACCUGUCUGAUCUCUGAUCGUUGCUCUGGUGCCGAAAGCUUGCUUACGGUUAUCAAAGUCGAUGGUCAAUAGGUUAGAACGGGUUAAAUUCGUUAAGGAUGUUGACGUA
This 373-nucleotide ribosomal RNA is filed under the name uncultured Glomeromycotina. Its description in RNAcentral is "LSU rRNA". Lineage: Eukaryota; Fungi; Glomeromycota. The record is from RNAcentral.